AUUAUGUUAUUUUGCACGGAACCUUAUUCAUUGUUAUUUUGCAUGGAACCGUAUUUAUUGUUCACGUGUGUAAAGAUAACUAUGCAUAAUCCAACAUAAAAGAUGAAUUGUGGCAGACAUAUUCCAUGAUCUAUGGUGAAAAAUAAAGGUAGUCUAUAGUUUGAACUCCCUGACUACAUGGAUUGAUUGCAUUUUAGAUGAUUUUUAUUUUAUUUGUAUACUAAGUUGUAUACAAUACAUAAAAUUGAAUUCUAAGUAAUAUUUUCGAAUAUAAAAUGAGUAAAAAUAUUAAACGCUUAAGUAUGUAAUGAGUGGUUAACAUUAUAAUCAUGAACUGUUUUCACCAGUUUUGCUUUUAAUAGCAUUUUAAUAAGAAUCAGUCGCCUCAUAUUAUUUACUAUAAAGAAAUCUGUUGUCAUGACUUGUUCAAUCAAACCCAAGAAUAUAGUAUUUGGCUUUUACAUAAAAUUAUUAUCUAUUAGAUAGUUAAUGUUUCAUUAAUUACAAAAUUAAGGCUUCUUUAAAAACUACUUAAUCCGAAAAUCUGAAGAACGAUACUCGAAUAAUUUUUGUGCUUUAUUUUUUCUUAUUAUUUUUGUUAGGUGGGCGAAGACGGUAUCAAAAGAUCUUUUUAAAGUUGACAAUUAUAUUAUGUAAAUAAGAUGACCAUGCAACAUUGCGGUUCGAUGGAGCGUCGAUUUAAUUUUUACUUGAUUUGAUAGAUUUGAUUUUUACAAAUAGUUAUGUUUAGUCUAUUAGCUCGGAUAGUCAUAGAUACAUUUAUUGGUUGGACAGAUAUAAAGCUGAAUCUACACUACAACACGUCCUACACGGACAACCCUUCGGUGCAGUCCAAUACCGUGUUGCGUCAAAGCUUCCAAAAAUCAAUAAUCGGACUUUCGGCCGCCAUACCAGCAGCUUCCGUGUAUUGCGUAUUUUACUGAUUUAACCGACUAAAGCAUCUUUCAGGUGGACAUCGGCUGCUAAAAUGACUUACGAUCCUGAGAGUCUCACCUGCCUCUCUCGCUACAACUGGCCGGGGGUAGCAGAAGUGAACAUCCGCAACUCGGCUGACCCGCGCUUGGUGCGUGGGCCCGCGCCUAACAGUAUCGCCGAAUAUUUUAAUAUGGCGCCCGAACGACGACUCUCGGAAUCCAUUUACGUGGUCAUCCGCGGACAGGCUGCCAACCAAGUCUGGCCUCGCCCGACCGCAGAUGAAGUUAUCAGCCGGAUCUUGCAUCUGUAAAUUGUCGCUCACACAA
Molecule: long non-coding RNA, 1262 nt
Organism: Spodoptera frugiperda (fall armyworm)
Lineage: Eukaryota; Metazoa; Arthropoda; Insecta; Lepidoptera; Noctuidae
Exons: 2
Source: RefSeq, a predicted model, not a curated record